AGAUGCCCAGACACAUAACGCUUACGAG
This 28-nucleotide small RNA is filed under the name Bombyx mori (domestic silkworm). RNAcentral's name for it is "ovarian small RNA-11970". Lineage: Eukaryota; Metazoa; Arthropoda; Insecta; Lepidoptera; Bombycidae. The record is from RNAcentral.